CUGAAGCGGCCGCCCCAGCCCAGUCCCGGCGCGACGAUGAGGGGCAUCCCGGGCUUAAAGAGGCUGCGGCUCAAAAUCUGGCGGCGAUGCGCCCUGCUGCUGCUCCUCCUCUGGGCUGCCUGCUGGGUGGUGGUGAGCGCUGCGCUGUUCCUCUUCCACAGGAGCGUCUUCUCCGAGCGCUGCACGGACGAGAAAAGCCACCGGAUCCUAGCCAGGCUGUGUCUUGACUACAGCAGCGGAGCCCUGACUGGUGACCUCUGUGAAGACCUGUGCGUGGCACAGAAGCUGGUGUACAAACACUGCCUUUACUAUGACAGAGGUAAGAAGGUCAUUCAGGCUGAUUGGAGAGGCCAGCCCAUCAUACUGAAAUCCAAAAAAGAAGUCUUUUCCAGCUACCAGCACCUCAGUAUGCUGGAGGAGGUGGAAACACAGGAUAUACCUGAAACUGAGCUUCUGCUGAUGGUAGCUUUGGAGGUCAAAAAUGCCUUGGGGCUAGAACUGUCUAAUAGUACCAUGGGGCCCCUGUGGACAAGGAAAAAGGGACCACAUUGGAAAGCACAGGUGGCCAGCAUGUGGUCCUUGCUCCAGCAGGAAGAAUAUAUCUACUUCAGUUUGCUGCAGGACUUCAGCAAACAUGUGCUACGAAUUAUUGGCUCUUGUGGACACUUUUAUGCUGUGGAGUAUCUCACAGCUGGACAUGCCUGGCACAAAACUCUUUUUCCCUUGGAAAAUGUGAUCAGUCCCUCCCUUACCGGACACAAAAGCAGGGUGAGAGCCAUCACUGACAUUGCACUCAGCUUUCUGGACAUGGUGCAGCAUUUUGAUAAUGAUUUCUCUCACCGACUCCACCUGUGUGACAUCAAACCAGAAAAUUUCGCUAUCAGGCAUGAUCUUACGGUGGUGGCCAUUGAUGUGGAUAUGGCCUUUUUUGAACCCAAAAUGAGGGACAUCCUCGAACAGAAUUGCACAAGAGAUGAAGAUUGUAAUUUUUUUGAUUGCUUUUCAAAAUGUAAUCUGAAAAUAAGAAAAUGUGGAGCACAGAGAGCCAAUAACAACUUGCAAGUAAUCUGUGACAAAAUAUUCCGUCACUGGUUUUCCCCAAAUCUCAGAGGACCGUUGGUUUCCCUUCCCCUGCAGCUGCAGCUGCAGAAAGCUGUGCAGGAGUGUGCUCAGCCGGGGCACAUGGACGCCGCCGGGCACCAGAGGACUCUGAAAUCUCUCUCUGAGUUAUACCACCUGCUUCAGGUCACUCAACAAGAACUGCAAAGGGCAGAGUAGACACAAAAGGCAGGACUGCAAAGGCUACACGCUAGUCUCUCUGCCAUCCCUCCUACCCACUGUACAUUUACAGCACAGAGAUUGCUUUUCUGCUAUGCAAAUGAAAAUUCAUGGCUGCAGGUGCAGCACAUGCUCUUAAUAUCCUAUCAAGUGUGAAAUUGUUUUACAUUACCUGGAUUCUGUUCUUGCUUAUUUUCCUGAGCUAGCACUAUACCUCUCCAUCAGAAUUCAGCACACCAUUCACUUACCAAGAGCUGUAGACACUGCAUCUGUCUGAGAGUGGUGCUCAGAGUGAGGAUGCAUCUACAGAAGAAAAGUGAACAGGGAAGAUUAUUAUGAGAGGAGGCUGAGAGGACUGUGCUUGUUUAGCCUUAAGAAGUGACUGCUAUGUACAGCUAAUGGGAGCAGGUACAGAAGAUGGAGCCAAACUCUCCUUGGAAGUGCCCGAUGGCAGGACGAGAGACAACAGGCACAAGCCAGAACACAGGAAAUUCCAACUCAGUAUUAAGAAAAAGUUUUAUACUGUGAAAAGAGUCAAGCACUGGAACAGAGUUCCAGAGAGUUUGUGGUCUCUGUCCCUGGAGAUAUUCAAGCUUGACAGGACAAGACCCUAAGAAAUCCAGUCUAAUUGGACCACCCUUGAGCAAGAAGUUGGACUAAGUGGCCUCCAUGUCUCAGUGCCAGCAUGGAGCCUUUCAAAAUAUCAACCACAGUUUUAAAAUCAGAAAAGCAUAAUAGCCUUUUUUAACUAUUAUUACCCCAAAUACUCAAAUAUUUCUUUUAACCGUGACUGUUAUUCAUAUGAAGAAAACAAAAGUAUGUAUUUGGCUGCCGUCUAACAAGUGCCCCAUCCAGUUAUUUGCAGGCAUCAUCUACUCUAAGCUAAAACACAGACUUCACACUCUGGCCUAGCCAAAGCCAACUCAGGCUCUCAGGAAGCUGAGGAAUGGGGAGAACAAGAGUUUUGUGACUGAUAAGGCAUGGCAGAGUUGCAUUGCCAACAGUAUGAAUCCUCUGCGAAAUUCCUGGAUCCCAAAAGUUAAUCUCCAUUUGAACUUUGAGGACAAUAUUAUCAUGGUUUAAACAUUUUGUUGUCUCUACCAGGCUAAGUGGAUAAGGCCCUCACUGUGUCAGGUACUGGACAGGACCAGGGUAAUAAACAAUGCCUGAGUUAGCAUUCAUGUUGGGCCUACUCUGUAAAAGACCUUCAAAGGCUAGAGUGGGUAUCAGUAAAAUGUAUGGCCACUGCAAGACCCUGACAUGAGAAAAAAUCAGAAUCAAGCCCAAGAGUUUGAUGUACUUUUUAGUGUGACUUAGAUUCUCCCUCCCAAACAGAACCUCAGUGCUGAGAAAAUCCCAGUGCUCCUCCUUUAUCUUAGGUAUGACUACAAGAUUAAGGACAAAAAGAGACCAGCCAAGUACUAGAGGUAUAAAGAUUUUAAAAAGUAACUGUCAUGUAACUAGCAGAGAAUUAUAAAAUAAAUUCUUCAG
RNA transcript from Lepidothrix coronata (blue-crowned manakin), 2769 nucleotides. It is a transcript of the gene named family with sequence similarity 69 member C, with no coding region annotated. The record is from RefSeq and is a predicted model, not a curated record. NCBI's taxonomy places the organism in Eukaryota, Metazoa, Chordata, Aves, Passeriformes, Pipridae. The transcript is spliced from 5 exons.